CCGGAGGACUAAGAAAGUGGAGCCGGUGCCUCGUGCCGACCCCGCUGAUACCAUCCUCCAAAAUGAAAUGGUGGAAGAACAAGGUCUGCCCGCGAGGAAAGGGCAGGGCCUGCUUCCUCCGCCUACACGG
Molecule: non-coding RNA, 130 nt
Organism: Colinus virginianus (northern bobwhite)
Lineage: Eukaryota; Metazoa; Chordata; Aves; Galliformes; Odontophoridae
Source: Rfam